AGCAGCCGCGGUAAUUCCAGCUCCAAUAGCGUAUAUUAAAGUUGUUGCAGUUAAAAAGCUCGUAGUUGAAUUUUAGGCCUGACCGGGCGGUCCGUCUCUGGCGAGUACUGUCCUGUUGUCGGUCUAUCCUUCUGGUGAGCCGAUAUGUCCUUUAUUGGGUGUAUUGGGGAACCAGAACCAUUACCUUGAAAAAUUAGAGUGUUUAAAGCGGGCUUUUGCUUGAAUAGAUUAGCAUGGAAUAAUAAAAUAGGACGUUGGUUCUAUUUUGUUGGUCUAGGACCACCGUAAUGAUUAAUAGGGAUAGUUGGGGCAUUAGUAUUCAAUUGUCAGAGGUGAAAUUCUUGGAUUUAUUGAAGACUAACUACUGCGAAAGCA
This 375-nucleotide ribosomal RNA is filed under the name uncultured Archaeospora. Its description in RNAcentral is "SSU rRNA". It matches the Rfam family "Eukaryotic small subunit ribosomal RNA", at positions 569 to 953 of the family's 1831-position model. The record is from RNAcentral. Lineage: Eukaryota; Fungi; Glomeromycota; Glomeromycetes; Archaeosporales; Archaeosporaceae.